GACGAACGCUGGCGGCGUGCUUAACACAUGCAAGUCGAACGGAAAGGCCCUGCUUUUGUGGGGUGCUCGAGUGGCGAACGGGUGAGUAACACGUGAGUAACCUGCCCUUGACUUUGGGAUAACUUCAGGAAACUGGGGCUAAUACCGGAUAGGAGCUCCUGCUGCAUGGUGGGGGUUGGAAAGUUUCGGCGGUUGGGGAUGGACUCGCGGCUUAUCAGCUUGUUGGUGGGGUAGUGGCUUACCAAGGCUUUGACGGGUAGCCGGCCUGAGAGGGUGACCGGCCACAUUGGGACUGAGAUACGGCCCAGACUCCUACGGGAGGCAGCAGUGGGGAAUAUGGCACAAUGGGCGGAAGCCUGAUGCAGCAACGCCGCGUGCGGGAUGACGGCCUUCGGGUUGUAAACCGCUUUCGCCUGUGACGAAGCGUGAGUGACGGUAAUGGGUAAAGAAGCACCGGCGAACUACGG
This 467-nucleotide ribosomal RNA is filed under the name uncultured bacterium. RNAcentral describes it as "partial 16S ribosomal RNA". It matches the Rfam family "Bacterial small subunit ribosomal RNA", at positions 28 to 506 of the family's 1533-position model. The record is from RNAcentral.